CCAACGGCUCUUUUAAGAGCCACCCACAGCUGUCCGAAAAAGGGCU
Molecule: regulatory RNA element, 46 nt
Organism: Pelecanus crispus (Dalmatian pelican)
Lineage: Eukaryota; Metazoa; Chordata; Aves; Pelecaniformes; Pelecanidae
Rfam family: Histone 3' UTR stem-loop
About the family: The mRNAs of metazoan histone genes lack a poly-A tail. 3' end processing occurs at a site between a highly conserved stem-loop (modelled by this family) and a purine rich region around 20 nts downstream (the histone downstream element, or HDE). The stem-loop is bound by a 31 kDa stem-loop binding protein (SLBP - also termed the histone hairpin binding protein, or HBP).
Source: Rfam